CGCGGCGCCAUCUUGAUCGAGUAUAUGGAAAAUACCUUGCUCAUAAUUCAUGAUUAAUGGUUAAAGAGUGAUAGAAUAUUUGAUAAAAUGAAACUGUACAGUUGAACAUUUAUAAAGUGUACUAUUUGGUUUAUUAGUAACACUUUUACACUUUUGAGGUUACAAUGAUGCCUUAAAGAAAAAAACUAAGAUUGAGAAAAGUAUUCAGUUGUUAUAAUAGCCUGUUGUCAUACAGGCUGGGUUUUUUGGAUACCUGAGAAGAAACCUGUGAACCUAGGAUUCUCUCCCUGACGAGGGAGAUGGCGAGCCGACCAGCUUGAUCAACUUGAUUCAUCUUCAUCCAUUGAGGAAGAACCCCCUGAUACCCCUUGUUUCUCCCAACCCCACUCUGGUGUGGUAGGAUUGUGAUUGAGAAAUUACACAAUUUUAUUUGAUACUUUAUUUUUUGUAAAAAGGGUACACCCAACCAACAAUACUGACUUGAAACUAACUAAAUUGAACUUGACCAAUUGAACUGAACCAGACUGAACAGAAGACAUUCAGAACUGAAUGGACAGUGAAUACAGUUACAACACUCAGGACAUUGAUAUGAAGACAAAUGAAUGUGUUUGAAUGUGAUAAGCUUUACAUAUUGUCGUUACGUUUUCUUUAAUACAGUUCUAACCAUUUUGCACUUACUUUCUGGCUCCGGUUGUUCAUUGUGUCCAUCUCUUCAUUCAUAACCUCUCCUUACGAACCUAGCUUUAACCUGAAAAUAUUUACCUACUGCUAAGUGACCCUUUAGGUGGGUUACAGUCAUCAUAUACGUGACUAUCCUGAACUGAUACUUUGCUUUGGGCCUCUUAUUCGCUCUUGGACCCUUAGGUUUGAGAGUAAACACACUUUUUAAACAGUGUGCUCGCAAAUUACACAACUUCAAGAAUUUGUGAUCUGUUGAUUAUUUAGGCCUCCAGCUACGUAGCUCUGUGGCUGUACACAAUGUCACCGUUAAAGGCACAAGCUACAAAAAAAGCCACGUGUGUUGUCUUUGAGAAGAAUGAUGAGGGACUAGUCUUUGGCAAGAUAGAACUGAUUCUUGUUUGCAACAGUUGUGUUUACUUUGUCACAGAGAAAUGCCAGUCUGAUUUCCUUUUGAUCAGGGGAUUUACUGCCUAAAGAUGGGCUCAGAGAACCCCAUUUCAAAUUAUUUCUGCCUCGAACAUGCAAGCCUGCUUGACUAUUACCCUUUGCCUGUGUACAACAUGUUUGGUCUGUCUCUAAUAGCCCUUCGCCACUCCUUUCCUUCAGAAUGUCUGAUAUAAGUGAGAGCAUCAAGGACGCAGUCAUUUCUGUCCUGCCAAGUGUGCCAGAAGAAACGAUCUUACACCAGGGAGUGGAAAGCAAAGAUGACUUGCAGUACAUAAGAGAACAGGAAAUUGCAGAGGUUAUUUGACCAAUUCAGUGCAGAAAACUUUUAAAUGCAUGGAAAUGAGCAGAUGCCAUAAGUUGUGCUACCCCCCUACUCCAGUCCCCAGAAGGCAGUUCAUCACUGUCAAGCUCCUUGAGAUCCAGUAGCCCUUCACCAUCACAUUCCAUUCCAUUCCAUAACUUGGCGUCAUUUUGAUGUCAAUACUUUUGAGUAACUUGGCAUUUUUGUUGUAAACAUGUUUUUUAUGAGAUAUCAUUUCUUUUUGCAAAGAGUUUUAUUAUGAGAGUGAGAAAUGCGAAGUGACCCUGUAAGAAACGUUUGUGGAUUAUGGCUAUCCUUGUGUGAAUUUGUACAGUCUGAUGAGCGUGUACUGUUUAGCAGUUUCGGUUUGCUAUCUAUGUAAAACAGUGGCUGUGACAAAGGGUGCGGUGGCGUAUAAGUGUAAAACGUAUCAGAGAUGCAUGUGAAAUAUGGCCAGUGUAUGUACUCACGUCCAUCCAACUGACAAAAGAAUCAGCAAGCCCGUAGAAUUAUAACUCUCUAGGUCGCAACUUGUGUAGCCUUCUGUCCUGCUCCGUUGUCUGUUAUUUCGUGGAGAUGCACUUUUAGUGUUUGUAAGGUUUAUAAGGCAUUUUGAUAGGCUUAUCUGCAGGUAGGAAUCCUCUUCGCUGUUUUGCUAAACUAGAACCGGAAAACAUGAUAGUGGAGAAUAGGAGCAGACGCAUAUGUCCCAGCAGGUUUUGCAUAUGAGAAAAUAACAACAGUGUGAGAGAAAUUAGGGUGAAAUUAUUAAAUUUCGGAGUUGAAACAAUAUGUUUUUAGCAGAAUGGGCAUGUAGGUGAAAGUUGACAUGAUCACGGAGUAUAGUGCGAAGUAAAUGGAGUGACCAUGAGCGAGCUUAUAUUCCUUAUCGAACGGUAUAUAUAACAGUCGCUAUAAAGUGCCAGCUGUUAAAGUGGGGGGUUAAGUAACACGUGAAAUCUAUUGCACUGCUAUGUUUUUUUCAUGUUCAGUACUAGUACUGAAUCAUGUUUUUAAAUGUAAUAUUUUAAUGGGUAGUUGCAGAACGUACAUACAUAGUAAUUGUUUGUAUGUGGCUGGAUAGAGAACAGGGCGAGGUAACAUGAUGUAGAAAUGUGGCGUUUGCUGAUAAGAAGGUUUUGUACAGUAGCCAAGUGAAGAAAUGUAGUUAGUAGAAAUGGCACAGCUGUGAACUGGUGUAACCUUUUGAUAAAAGUAUUACAUUUGCCAUCAUGAAAUGCAUAUGGGUGGCCAUGAGUGAGUUUUGGUAAAGAAAAUAUAAGUGUAAGAGAACGUUAGUGUAAAAGAGGAAAUUACUACCCCCUUUCUCACCUCUCCAUCUCUACCUUUGAAUACCACUCUGUCUCAAUCACCUAUCCUGUUAACUUGUACAUUGUUGUUAUCUAUCGCCCUCCAGGGCCCCUGGGAAGCUUCCUCGACGAGCUCAACACCCUGCUCAGCUCCUUCCCAGAGAAUGGUGUAGAGGGGAGUCAAACUGGGACCCAGAAAAGGCUGGCAUUUGAACGGGCCUGCAGGCUGGGACUCAUCCUGUACUUCAAAGAACCCAGAGCCGUGUGAUAAAACAAUAAGUUACUUGGACUUCCUCGGGAUAAGCAGGCCAUUUGGCUCUUUGGAAUGUUGCCAUCUGGACACAUCUAAGAUAAGGGGAACUAGUCUCUUUGUCUAUGGUUGUGGGGGUAUGUGUGUUCGGGCCAUUAAGGGUAAAAAGAUCAUCAGGCCUCUGGACAAAUGGUGGGGCAACUACGCUUGACAGUUCCACAGUGCCGUUAUGUGGGCCCCUCUAUCAUUACACUUUUUAUUUAUUUUCUGGAUCUGGACUCUAAACCAUCUGUUUAUCAUAUUUACAAACCCCGGAAAACCUUACAAACCAUGCACGUGUUUUCAUUAUAUUACUGUAUUAUGCCUUAUGUAAUAAUAACAUGGAUUGCAUGUAAAAUGCUUCAACAAAAGGGUAUUUUCAUGACAACUGCACCAUAAUAUUACAUCCCCUGGACAUGUUUGGCAUAUUCAGGAAAAUUCCAGAAA
This is a long non-coding RNA of Anguilla rostrata (American eel), 3475 nucleotides long. RefSeq lists it as uncharacterized. The record is from RefSeq and is a predicted model, not a curated record. Lineage: Eukaryota; Metazoa; Chordata; Actinopteri; Anguilliformes; Anguillidae. The transcript is spliced from 2 exons.